GGACAGUUGGGUGAGUGGCUGAAACCACAUCCCUGCUAAGGAUGCGUGCUCGUAAGGGCACCCUGAGUUCGAAUCUCAGACUGUCCGCCA
Molecule: transfer RNA, 90 nt
Filed under: Sulfurovum sp.
Lineage: Bacteria; Pseudomonadati; Campylobacterota; Epsilonproteobacteria; Campylobacterales; Sulfurovaceae
Also listed under: 5 other names
Description: tRNA-Ser
Rfam family: tRNA
About the family: Transfer RNA (tRNA) molecules are approximately 80 nucleotides in length. Their secondary structure includes four short double-helical elements and three loops (D, anti-codon, and T loops).
Source: RNAcentral